Molecule: ribosomal RNA, 444 nt
Filed under: uncultured bacterium
Lineage: Bacteria
Description: partial 16S ribosomal RNA
Rfam family: Bacterial small subunit ribosomal RNA
Source: RNAcentral
CUACGGGACGCUCCAGUGGGGAAUAUUGCACAAUGGGCGCAAGCCUGAUGCAGCAACGCCGCGUGAGGGAUGAAGGCCUUCGGGUUGUAAACCUCUUUUAGCAGGGAAGAAGCGAAAGUGACGGUACCUGCAGAAAAAGCACCGGCUAACUACGGGCCAGCAGCCGCGGUAAUACGUAGGGUGCAAGCGUUGUCCGGAAUUAUUGGGCGUAAAGAGCUCGUAGGCGGUUUGUCACGUCUGCUGUGAAAAUCCAAGGCUCAACCUUGGACUUGCAGUGGGUACGGGCAGGCUAGAGUGCGGUAGGGGAGAUGGGAAUUCCUGGUGUAGCGGUGGAAUGCGCAGAUAUCAGGAGGAACACCAAUGGCGAAGGCACAUCUCUGGGCCGUAACUGACGCUGAGGAGCGAAAGCGUGGGGAGCGAACAGGAUUAGAUACCCGGGUAGUC